Molecule: ribosomal RNA, 505 nt
Filed under: uncultured bacterium
Lineage: Bacteria
Description: partial 16S ribosomal RNA
Rfam family: Bacterial small subunit ribosomal RNA
Source: RNAcentral
GACGAACGCUGGCGGCGUGCCUAAUACAUGCAAGUAGAACGCACAGUUUAUACCGUAGCUUGCUACACCAUAGACUGUGAGUUGCGAACGGGUGAGUAACGCGUAGGUAACCUGCCUGGCAGCGGGGGAUAACUAUUGGAAACGAUAGCUAAUACCGCAUAAUAUUAAUUAUUGCAUGAUAAUUAAUUGAAAGGUGCAAUUGCACCACUACCAGAUGGACCUGCGUUGUAUUAGCUAGUAGGUGAGGUAACGGCUCACCUAGGCGACGAUACAUAGCCGGCCUGAGAGGGUGGUCGGCCAAACUGGGACUGAGAAACGGCCCAGAAUCCUAAGGGAGGCAGCAGUAGGGAAUAUUCGGCAAUGGAGGAAAGUCUGAACGAGCAAAGCCGCGUGAGUGAAGAAGGUUUUCGGAUCGUAAAGCUCUGUUGUAAGAGAAGAACGGGUGUGAGAGUGGAAAGUUCACACUGUGACGGUAUCUUACCAGAAAGGGACGGCUAACUACGUG